UAAGCCAAUGCAACUUUUAUUUGAAGUGUAUCCCGUGUAUUCUGAUACAUACAUGAAUGUGUCUGGGCCACUCACCCUAGAACCGCCCCUGAUGUUAGAUAUUAGAGAAAGUGUGCGUUUGCUUAGAGACCUAGAACCUAAACUGAGAGGUGCGUCCUACCAUGCUUGGGCUCUCUGGGCUGCUGAUCACUGAAAUCAAACAAACAGAGCAGGCUGAGGACAUACAGUGCAGUGUGCUCAACUCAGUGUGUGUGUGUGUGUGUGUGUGUCAGAAUCCCAGUGUCUGAGGCUGGAUGAUGGGACUGAAGACCCAGAGGACGAUCCAUUCACAGCCAAACUCAGCUUUGAGCAGGGUGGCCGUGCAUUCGUGCCGGUGCUGGUGAAUCGUGCCGUGCUGAGGUGCAUGUCCAGACGAGAUGUUCUGAUCAAGCGCUGGCCCAGACCGCUCAGCUGGCAGUACUACCGCUCUCUGCUGCCAGACGUCAGCAUCACCAUGUGCCCCUCCUGCUUCCAGAUGUUUCACAGUGAGGACUACGAGCUGCUUGUUCUUCAGCACAACUGCUGUCCGUACUGCCGCAGACCCAUCGACGAGCCCAGCUAGCACAGCUAGUGCCUGGAUUAGCCUCCAGACCAUCACUUCACCUGUGUGUCUGUAGGACCGUGCUUUGAUCAGCUAGAAACGCGUCAGUAAAUGCCAGCUCAGGGCAGCGCUCUGAUAGGAUCAGCCGGAUCAGCUGCUAAAGCUGAUUACAGCGUUUGUACAUGUGAGGACAUGCAUACGCCUUAUCACACACACACACACACACACACACACUCUCUCUCUCACACACACACACACUCACGGCUCGGUCCACUUCAACACGUUUGCUUAGAUUCAGACAAUAUAAAUAAAGUGUAAUAUUUAUGCCUCUAACAUGUAUUGUAAUGUUUUCCUGUCAGUAGAGCUGAAGUGUUUGUGUUGAUUGCUUCAUGUAGGUGUGAGUGGUUUUUGCCUGUAAAAGUGGCUGCUGUAAAGCUCAGGUGUUGCAUGAGAUCAUCAUUAUAACUGAUGCCUACCAUAAGCAUUAGAAAGACCACAGAAAACCAGUCUGUGUGAGCGUGUUUGUACCACAGCCUUAUUCUGGGGACAAAUUUGCACCAA
This is a long non-coding RNA of Sinocyclocheilus grahami, 1141 nucleotides long. RefSeq lists it as uncharacterized. The record is from RefSeq and is a predicted model, not a curated record. NCBI's taxonomy places the organism in Eukaryota, Metazoa, Chordata, Actinopteri, Cypriniformes, Cyprinidae. The transcript has 3 exons.